AGGACGAACGCUGGCGGCGUGCUUAACACAUGCAAGUCGAACGGAAAGGCCCGCUUGCGGGUACUCGAGUGGCGAACGGGUGAGUAACACGUGGGCAACCUGCCCUCAGCUUCGGGAUAACUCUCGGAAACGGGUGCUAAUACCGAAUGUUGACAUUUCCUCGCAUGGGGUUGUGUUGAAAGUUUUUCGGCUGGGGAUGGGCCCGCGGCCUAUCAGCUUGUUGGUGGGGUGAUGGCCUACCAAGGCGACGACGGGUAGCCGGCCUGAGAGGGCGAUCGGCCACACUGGAACUGAGACACGGUCCAGACUCCUACGGGAGGCAGCAGUGGGGAAUAUUGCGCAAUGGGCGGAAGCCUGACGCAGCGACGCCGCGUGAGGGAUGAAGGUCUUCGGAUUGUAAACCUCUUUCAGUAGGACGAAUUUAGACGGUACCUGCAGAAGAAGCACCGGCCAACUACGCGCCAGCAGCCGC
Molecule: ribosomal RNA, 472 nt
Filed under: uncultured bacterium
Lineage: Bacteria
Description: SSU rRNA
Rfam family: Bacterial small subunit ribosomal RNA
Source: RNAcentral